This 775-nucleotide ribosomal RNA is filed under the name uncultured Neocallimastigales. RNAcentral describes it as "partial large subunit ribosomal RNA". It matches the Rfam family "Eukaryotic large subunit ribosomal RNA", at positions 22 to 635 of the family's 3401-position model. The record is from RNAcentral. Lineage: Eukaryota; Fungi; Neocallimastigomycota; Neocallimastigomycetes; Neocallimastigales.
GGUACACGCUGUGACUAGCAUAUCAAUAAGCGGAGGAAAAGAAACUAACAAGGAUUCCCCUAGUAACGGCGAGUGAAGCGGGAAGAGCUCAAAUUUGAAAUCUUAAAGGGUUUCCCUUUACGAAUUGUAGUUUAAAGAAGUGUUUUCUGUUGAGGUUUUGGUAAAAGUUCUUUGGAAUAGGACAUCAUAGAGGGUGAGAAUCCCGUAUUUGACCUUUACUUUCAACUUUGUGAUACACUUUCAAAGAGUCGGAUUGUUUGGGAAUGCAGUCCAAAAUGGGUGGUAAAUUUCAUCUAAAGCUAAAUAUUGGCGAGAGACCGAUAGCGAACAAGUACCGUGAGGGAAAGAUGAAAAGAACCUUGAAAAGAGAGUUAAACAGUACGUGAAAUUGUCAAAAGGGAAGCGUUUGACACCAGUGUUGUUUUUCUGAAAAUCAAUUAAAGAACUGUUUAUGCUAAGCUGUUUAGACUUUAUCAGCUAUCUGUUUAGUUUUGAGCUUUUCUUUAAUGCACUUUUCAGUUAACAAGUCAACAUCAAUUUCUUUUGCUGUAAAAAAGCUUGAGGAAGGUGGCUUGAGAUUCGUCUUAAGUGUUUAUAGCCUCUUGCCUAUGCAGUCGGAGAGAUUGAGGUCUGCAGCGUAGAUCCUUCGGGGCUAAAUGCAUUUGUGCUAAGUUAUAGCAUUUUAUAGACAACUUGUUGACUAUGAUUUGUCUUGUAGCUUACUCGCUUAUGUUAUUUUACCUACGCUUAGGAUGUUGAAGAUGUAGCACAUCAU